Molecule: unclassified non-coding RNA, 284 nt
Filed under: Trichoderma aerugineum
Lineage: Eukaryota; Fungi; Ascomycota; Sordariomycetes; Hypocreales; Hypocreaceae
Description: partial internal transcribed spacer region
Rfam family: Eukaryotic small subunit ribosomal RNA (bases 1-46)
Source: RNAcentral
AAGUCGUAACAAGGUCUCCGUUGGUGAACCAGCGGAGGGAUCAUUACCGAGUUUACAAACUCCCAAACCCAAUGUGAACGCUACCAAACUGUUGCCUCGGCGGGAUCUCUGCCCCGGGCGCGUCGCAGCCCCGGACCAAGGCGCCCGCCGGAGGGACCCAAAAAAGACAAACCCCUGCAUGCCCCCUCGCGGGCUUUCUCCAAGCUCUGAGCCUUUCUCGGCGCCCCCUCGCGGGGCGCUACGAAAAUGAAUCAAAACUUUCAACAACGGAUCUCUUGGUUCUG